GGAGUCGGCUGGACAGUCGCUGCUCGCCCGCCUUGGCGCGCGAGGGGAGGAAAGUCCGGGCUCCACAGGGCAGGGUGCCAGGUAACGCCUGGGGGGCGCGAGCCCACGGCAAGUGCCACAGAAAAGAUACCGCCUCAAUCCGCCUCGGUGGAUCGGUAAGGGUGAAAUGGUGCGGUAAGAGCGCACCGCGCCGACGGCAACGCCGGUGGCAGGGUAAACCCCACCCGGAGCAAGACCAAAUAGGGGGGCGAGCGGCUUCGUACCGCAACGCGCGGCCCGCGCGUGUCCCCGGGUAGGUCGCUGGAGGCGUGCGGUGACGCACGCCCUAGAUGAAUGGCUGUCCCCGACAGAACCCGGCUUAUAGGCCGACUCCCUCC
Molecule: RNase P RNA, 377 nt
Filed under: Chromatiales bacterium
Lineage: Bacteria; Pseudomonadati; Pseudomonadota; Gammaproteobacteria; Chromatiales
Also listed under: 1 other name
Description: RNase P RNA component class A
Rfam family: Bacterial RNase P class A
About the family: Ribonuclease P (RNase P) is a ubiquitous endoribonuclease, found in archaea, bacteria and eukarya as well as chloroplasts and mitochondria. Its best characterised activity is the generation of mature 5'-ends of tRNAs by cleaving the 5'-leader elements of precursor-tRNAs.
Source: RNAcentral